RNAcentral lists this ribosomal RNA (1365 nucleotides) under uncultured bacterium. RNAcentral describes it as "bacterial SSU rRNA". It matches the Rfam family "Bacterial small subunit ribosomal RNA". The record is from RNAcentral.
GAGUUUGAUCCUGGCUCAGGAUGAACGCUGGCGGCGUGCCUAAGACAUGCAAGUCGAGUGGGUUUAGGCCCACGGCAAACGGGUGAGUAAUAUCUAGGAACAUACCUAUAGUUGAGCAUAACCUACCGAAAGGUAGAGCAAUUCUCAAUGUGACCGCAAGGUUAAAGUCGCAAGACGCUAUAGAAGUGGCCUGGACACCAUCAGCUAGUUGGUAAGGUAAUGGCUUACCAAGGCUUUGACGGUUAGGGGCCCCGAGAGGGGAAACCCCCACACUGGAACUGAGACACGGUCCAGACUCCUACGGGAGGCAGCAGUUUGGAAUUUUGGACAAUGGGCGAAAGCCUGAUCCAGCGACGCCGCGUGGAGGAUGAAGGUCUUCGGGUUGUAAACUCCUGUCAUUUGGGAACAAGUGCCAACAAGUAACUACUGUUGGCUUGAUAGUACCAGAAGAGGAAGAGACGGCUAACUCUGUGCCAGCAGCCGCGGUAAUACAGAGGUCUCAAGCGUUGUUCGGAUUCAUUGGGCGUAAAGGGUGCGUAGGUGGCGCCGUAAGUGGGGUGUGAAAUUUCGGAGCUUAACUCCGAAACUGCGUUCCAUACUGCGGUGCUUGAGGACUGGAGAGGAGACUGGAAUUUACGGUGUAGCAGUGAAAUGCGUAGAGAUCGUAAGGAAGACCAGUGGCGAAGGCGGGUCUCUGGACAGUUCCUGACACUGAGGCACGAAGGCCAGGGGAGCAAACGGGAUUAGAUACCCCGGUAGUCCUGGCAGUAAACGGUGCACGUUUGGUGUGGGGGGAUUCGACCCCUUCUGCGCCGGAGCUAACGCGUUAAACGUGCCGCCUGGGGAGUACGGUCGCAAGAUUAAAACUCAAAGAAAUUGACGGGGGCCCGCACAAGCGGUGGAGUAUGUGGCUCAAUUCGAUGCAACGCGAAGAACCUUACCAGGCCUUGACAUGCAUCUCUUAACCGGUGAAAGCCGGCGAGUGUCGAAAGACACAAUUUGCACAGGUGCUGCAUGGCUGUCGUCAGCUCGUGUCGUGAGAUGUUGGGUUAAGUCCCGCAACGAGCGCAACCCCUGUGAACUGUUGCUACUCCCACACACGUGGGAAGCACUCUGUUCAGACUGCCUCGCUUAAACGAGGAGGAAGGUGGGGACGACGUCAAGUCAGUAUGGCCCUUACGGCCUGGGCUGCACACGUACUACAAUGCCCAGCACAGAAUGAUCCGAGACCGCGAGGUGGAGGAAAUCUCUAAAACUGGGCCCAGUUCGGAUUGGAGGCUGCAAUUCGCCUCCAUGAAGCCGGAAUCGCUAGUAAUGGCGCAUCAGCUACGGCGCCGUGAAUACGUUCCCGGGCCUUGUACACAC